This 499-nucleotide ribosomal RNA is filed under the name uncultured bacterium. RNAcentral's name for it is "bacterial SSU rRNA". It matches the Rfam family "Bacterial small subunit ribosomal RNA", at positions 28 to 526 of the family's 1533-position model. The record is from RNAcentral.
GAUGAACGCUAGCGGCAGGCCUAACACAUGCAAGUCGAGGGGUAGAGGAAGCUUGCUUCCUUGAGACCGGCGCACGGGUGCGUAACGCGUAUGCAAUCUACCUUGUACUGAGGGAUAGCCCAGAGAAAUUUGGAUUAAUACCUCAUAGCAUUAUGAAAUCGCAUGGUUUUAUAAUUAAAGUUCCAACGGUACAAGAUGAGCAUGCGUCCCAUUAGUUAGUUGGUAAGGUAACGGCUUACCAAGACGAUGAUGGGUAGGGGUCCUGAGAGGGAGAUCCCCCACACUGGUACUGAGACACGGACCAGACUCCUACGGGAGGCAGCAGUGAGGAAUAUUGGUCAAUGGACGCAAGUCUGAACCAGCCAUGCCGCGUGCAGGAUGAAGCAUCUAUGGUGUGUAAACUGCUUUUGUACGGGAAGAAACACUCCUACGUGUAGGAACUUGACGGUACCGUAAGAAUAAGGAUCGGCUAACUCCGUGCCAGCCGCCGCGGUAAGAC